RNAcentral lists this ribosomal RNA (441 nucleotides) under uncultured bacterium. RNAcentral's name for it is "partial 16S ribosomal RNA". It matches the Rfam family "Bacterial small subunit ribosomal RNA", at positions 355 to 795 of the family's 1533-position model. The record is from RNAcentral.
CCUCCGUUCUUCCGCCGUUUUUACUAUUUCUCCCUUUUUUCCACCCUUACUCAGCAACGCCUCGUGAUUGAAGAAGGCCUUCGGGUUGUAAAGAUCUUUAAUCGGGGACGAAUUUUGACGGUACCCGAAGAAUAAGCUCCGGCUAACUACGUGCCAGCAGCCGCGGUAAUACGUAGGGAGCAAGCGUUAUCCGGAUUUACUGGGUGUAAAGGGCGUGUAGGCGGGCAUGCAAGCCAGAAGUGAAAUCUGGGGGCUUAACCCCCAAACUGCUUUUGGAACUGCGUGUCUUGAGUGAUGGAGAGGCAGGCGGAAUUCCCAGUGUAGCGGUGAAAUGCGUAGAUAUUGGGAGGAACACCAGUGGCGAAGGCGGCCUGCUGGACAUUAACUGACGCUGAGGCGCGAAAGCGUGGGGAGCAAACAGGAUUAGAUACCCGAGUAGUC